GUGGAGGCAAGCAUAUCUUGCUGGGGCAAUCUGCCUACCUGAGGCCUUCUAUGGGAAUUCACCCACCUCACGUAUUGGAGUCGGAAUGAGAUUCUGUUGGGAGAACCUGGCAGGACAUUCAGAGACAGAUGAGUCUGGAGAGGAGAACAAGAAGGCUGGAACAGAAGUGUUGAAACACCCACAGAGCCGGCGGGACAUUCCAGUUGGUCCCCAGAAUUCUUCUGGCGUCCAGAGUCUGGAAGUUCAUUGAGACUGUAUGGGCUUUCUGGAAAUCCACCCAGAACAUUUACAUGUGAACAGAAAAGAGUUUGCUUUGUGCUUAAUCAUGGGUUGUCUUCCUCUUCCUUCUUUUAUUGUUUCCUCGCUGGGUUUUGUCUUCCACUGACUGAAUUGAAUAGCAGAACUCGAAUUGGCUUAAGUGGGACAAGAUCAGUGCCCAUGUCAGGAGGAUUUAUUAUGAGGGGGUGAAGAUAAUCUGGCAUUUGGUGUCUUCUGUAAUGAUAGCAUGAUAUUUUCAGGAUUGUAUUUACCUGUGGGUUUUGUCUGAGGUUAUGAAACUACUCUCUGGUAAUGCUUUCCCCAGUAGAUAUGAAAUCACAUACAGGCUCUGUAUUUUGUAGUCUGGUGAUAUUGGAGUGUCAAUAAACAUUAGAACCUAUUCCAUUCUAAGCACUGGACUGUGCAAUAGCUGGUCAUUAAUUAAACAUGAGUGUGAGGUUUGUCCUCAUGAAG
This is a long non-coding RNA of Gallus gallus (chicken), 732 nucleotides long. NCBI's taxonomy places the organism in Eukaryota, Metazoa, Chordata, Aves, Galliformes, Phasianidae. The record is from Ensembl.